RNAcentral lists this ribosomal RNA (492 nucleotides) under uncultured bacterium. Its description in RNAcentral is "partial 16S ribosomal RNA". It matches the Rfam family "Bacterial small subunit ribosomal RNA", at positions 29 to 507 of the family's 1533-position model. The record is from RNAcentral.
AGUGAACGCUGGCGGUAGGCCUAACACAUGCAAGUCGAACGGCAGCACAGUAAGAGCUUGCUCUUACGGGUGGCGAGUGGCGGACGGGUGAGGAAUACAUCGGAAUCUACUUUUUCGUGGGGGAUAACGUAGGGAAACUUACGCUAAUACCGCAUACGACCUACGGGUGAAAGCAGGGGAUCUUCGGACCUUGCGCGAUUGAAUGAGCCGAUGUCGGAUUAGCUAGUUGGCGGGGUAAAGGCCCACCAAGGCGACGAUCCGUAGCUGGUCUGAGAGGAUGAUCAGCCACCCUGGAACUGAGACACGGUCCAGACUCCUACGGGAGGCAGCAGUGGGGAAUAUUGGACAAUGGGCGCAAGCCUGAUCCAGCCAUACCGCGUGUGUGAAGAAGGCCUUCGGGUUGUAAAGCCCUUUUGUUGGGAAAGAAAAGCAGCAGGUUAAUACCCCGCUGUUCUGACGGUACCCAAAGAAUAAGCACCGGCUAACUUCGUG